RNAcentral lists this ribosomal RNA (366 nucleotides) under uncultured Escherichia sp. Its description in RNAcentral is "bacterial SSU rRNA". It matches the Rfam family "Bacterial small subunit ribosomal RNA", at positions 8 to 370 of the family's 1533-position model. The record is from RNAcentral. Lineage: Bacteria; Pseudomonadati; Pseudomonadota; Gammaproteobacteria; Enterobacterales; Enterobacteriaceae.
AGAGUUUGAUCCUGGCUCAGAUUGAACGCUGGCGGCAGGCCUAACACAUGCAAGUCGAGCGGUAACAGGAAACAGCUUGCUGUUUCGCUGACGAGUGGCGGACGGGUGAGUAAUGUCUGGGAAACUGCCUGAUGGAGGGGGAUAACUACUGGAAACGGUAGCUAAUACCGCAUAACGUCGCAAGACCAAAGAGGGGGACCUUCGGGCCUCUUGCCAUCGGAUGUGCCCAGAUGGGAUUAGCUAGUAGGUGGGGUAACGGCUCACCUAGGCGACGAUCCCUAGCUGGUCUGAGAGGAUGACCAGCCACACUGGAACUGAGACACGGUCCAGACUCCUACGGGAGGCAGCAGUGGGGAAUAUUGCACA